CAAAAAGGUUAGUCAUUGAGAAUUGGACAAUACACAAAAAUGGCAAAUAUUUAAAUGUGUUGAUAUGAUAAUGUAGAUAUUUUAAACUUUUAGCAGAGGGUAUCACAUACUCUAAAAUCCCAAACUUUUAAAUAUUUCAAGGAAAUUUUAUAUCUAAGGUAAUGCUGGUGAUUCGUUGAAACAUCACAACGGAAUGAAGUUCUCUACCUACGACAGAGAUAAUGAUCAGUGGGGUGGCGGCUACUCGUGCGCUGUGGACUGCCAAGGUGCUUGGUGGUAUAAUAACUGUCAUCACUCCAACCUCAAUGGUCUCUAUCUCAAGGCAGGGGAGAUAUCUGCGAAAGGAAUGGAUUGGUGGAAAUGGAAAAGCGACAACAGAUCCAUGAAGAAAACUGAGAUGAAAAUACGUCCUGCUGGAUUUUAGAAAUCCCAGGAACACGUUUCUUAUCAAACACGCACUGAACAAUUGUGUAGUUACAGGAGAAGAAUAAUUUAAUUUAUCAUGCACACUAGAUAACGAGAUUCCUAGAUAACGAGCUGUUGCAUUAUAAGAAUUAUAGAUCGAACUUAAGCUUCAAAAACCAUUAAUAUAAUAAUAAUUCAUGGGGAAAACACAAAGAAAAAUCAUAAGCCUGUCGUACCUUUAUAUGUGAUAGAGAUUUCCCUUGAUUUACAUAAAUUUUAACUUUGAUUUUCUCGACUUACACAACGUAUUUUUUGAAAAUUAAUUUGCCAAUGAACUUACUAGAUGGAUCGUUUUUGAAGCAAUUUAAAACCCGGCUUCGCCUCGUAUCUUUAUCCUGCUCAUGUUUUAAAUAGUAUACUUUAACACUAUAGAUAUUGCCGUAUAGUCGUAACGGCCAAAACUAUAGAUCAACGAUAAAAAUAGCACUAAAGUUGUAAGAGUUUGUGGUAUCAUGACUGGAUUUUAUAUGAAUUUGUCUGUUUAUUCAUAAAUGUUUUUGUCCCACACGUGACGGAUUUAGCGUUUAUGAAUAAUUGUCUAAUUAAAGAGUAAAUUUUAAUAUACAUGCUUUUUUAAAUAAUAUAGUC
Non-coding RNA from Paramuricea clavata, 1053 nucleotides. The record is from the annotation of a GenBank genome assembly. Lineage: Eukaryota; Metazoa; Cnidaria; Anthozoa; Malacalcyonacea; Plexauridae.